GGAAGGAUCAUUGAAUCUAUCACAAUCCACAACCGUGAACCAUAUUGUUGGCCUCCGUCCUCGCAAGGGGACGGGCUGGGGCCGCCAGAUUAACUUCUGGCUGGUGCCAGGUCUCUGGCUGGCUGGCCGCUUGGCUGGCUGGCUGGGGUCGGUCUUUAUCCAACCAACCCAACACCAAACCAAAACACCUAAACAAAAUCAGAGUGACGGCUCAGAGCCGAAGCUCAUCAACCAAGACAACUCUCAACAACGGAUAUCUUGGCUCUCGCAACGAUGAAGAACGCAGCGAAAUGCGAUACGUAGUGUGAAUUGCAGAAAUACGUGAACCAUCGAAUCUUUGAACGCAUAUUGCGCCCGCGUCUUCGGACAAGGGCAUGUCUGCCUCAGCGUCGGGUUAAUACUCGCACCACAACUCUCUGGGUUGUGUCUCCAAAGUGCGGAUCUGGCUGUCCCAAUCGGGCUUCGGCUCUGGUUGGGUCAGCUGAAGAAGAGAGGUUGACGCAUGGACCCGAUAUGGGCCUCAGCUGGGUAGGCAAUUCGUUGCUAAUGCUUUAGCUGGUGGCUUGUGGACUAUGUGGACCGUGCAUUUGUCGGCCCAAACCAGGAACCAAGCCUUGUGCUUGGCAUUAACCCAUUUUCUCGACCUGAGCUCAGGCAAGAACACCCGCUGAACUUAAGCAUAUCAAUAAGCGGAGGAAAAGAAACUAACAAGGAUUCCCCUAGUAACGGCGAGUGAAACGGGAAUAGCCCAACUUGAAAAUCUCCCUUUGGAGAAUUGUAGUCUACAGAAGCGCCCUCUGGAGCGGGCGGAGCUCAAGUCGGAUCGAAUGCCGCGUCAGAGAGGGUGAUAACCCCGUCGGCUCCUGCUUAGCUUCUUCACGAGGUGCUUUCCACGAGUCGGGUUGUUUGGGAAUGCAGCCCUAAUUUGGAGGUAAAUCCCUUCUAAGGCUAAAUAUUGGCGAGAGACCGAUAGCGAACAAGUACCGUGAGGGAAAGAUGAAAAGAACUUUGAAAAGAGAGUUAAAAGUGCUUGAAAUUGUUGAGAGGGAAGCGUUGUGAAUUCGUAGGUGCGCCCAGGCUUAAGCAGGCCUAAAAACCUGUUGAAUGUGCUGGGCGCUGGUCAACGUGGGUUCGUUUGGCGGGAUAACAGUUGGGUCCACCAAGGUAACCCGGCCUAUGCCGCCGAAUGGACCAAGGCGUAAAGGUUGCUUUGUCCUCCGGGAUCUGCAUCCUAAAGACGUUGGCAGAAGGAUUUACACCGACCCGUCUUGAAACACGGACCAAGGAGUCUAACAUGUAUGCGAGUUGGUGGGUGGUAAACCCAUAAGCGCAAGUAACCUGACUGGAGCGAUGGCUUAUGCCUGCAGCUUCGACCGACCAUGUUGCUUCUGCGAAAGGUUUGAGUGCGAGCAUACCUGUUGGGACCCGAAAGAUGGUGAACUAUGCCUGAGCAGGGUGAAGCCAGAGGAAACUCUGGUGGAGGCUCGUAGAUGUGCUGACGUGCAAAUCGCUUUUCGGACUUGGGUAUAGGGGCGAAAGACUAAUCGAACCAUCUAGUAGCUGGUUCCCUC
This 1571-nucleotide unclassified non-coding RNA is filed under the name uncultured Chlamydomonadales. Its description in RNAcentral is "sequence contains 18S rRNA gene, ITS1, 5.8S rRNA gene, ITS2, 28S rRNA gene". The stretch from base 641 to 1571 matches the Rfam family "Eukaryotic large subunit ribosomal RNA", at positions 1 to 961 of the family's 3401-position model. The record is from RNAcentral. Lineage: Eukaryota; Viridiplantae; Chlorophyta; Chlorophyceae; Chlamydomonadales.